RNAcentral lists this ribosomal RNA (775 nucleotides) under uncultured Neocallimastigales. RNAcentral's name for it is "partial large subunit ribosomal RNA". It matches the Rfam family "Eukaryotic large subunit ribosomal RNA", at positions 20 to 645 of the family's 3401-position model. The record is from RNAcentral. Lineage: Eukaryota; Fungi; Neocallimastigomycota; Neocallimastigomycetes; Neocallimastigales.
UACUAGAGUAGCACUCGCAUAUCAAUAAGCGGAGGAAAAGAAACUAACAAGGAUUCCCCUAGUAACGGCGAGUGAAGCGGGAAGAGCUCAAAUUUGAAAUCUUAAAGGGUUUCCCUUUACGAAUUGUAGUUUAAAGAAGUGUUUUCUGUUGAGGUUUUGGUAAAAGUUCUUUGGAAUAGGACAUCAUAGAGGGUGAGAAUCCCGUAUUUGACCUUUACUUUCAACUUUGUGAUACACUUUCAAAGAGUCGGAUUGUUUGGGAAUGCAGUCCAAAAUGGGUGGUAGAUAUUCAUCUAAAGCUAAAUAUUGGCGAGAGACCGAUAGCGAACAAGUACCGUGAGGGAAAGAUGAAAAGAACUUUGAAAAGAGAGUUAAACAGUACGUGAAAUUGUCAAAAGGGAAGCGUUUGACACCAGUGUUGUUUUUCUGAAAAUCAAUUAAAGAACUGUUUAUGCUAAGUUGUUUAGACUUUAUCAGCUAACUGUUUAGUUUUGAGCUUUUCUUUAAUGCACUUUUCAGUUAACAAGUCAACAUCAAUUUCUUUUGCUGUAAAAAAGCUUGAGGAAGGUGGCUUGAGAUUCGUCUUAAGUGUUUAUAGCCUCUUGCCUAUGCAGUCGGAGAGAUUGAGGUCUGCAGCGUAGAUCCUUCGGGGCUAAAUGCAUUUGUGCUAAGUUAUAGCAUUUUAUAGACAACUUGUUGACUAUGAUUUGUCUUGUAGCUUACUCGCUUAUGUUAUUUUACCUACGCUUAGGAUGUUGAUCUCUCACAGUCGAGC